AUGGUGAGACAAUUUGGAACGAA
Molecule: non-coding RNA, 23 nt
Filed under: Arabidopsis thaliana (thale cress)
Lineage: Eukaryota; Viridiplantae; Streptophyta; Magnoliopsida; Brassicales; Brassicaceae
Source: RNAcentral